Molecule: unclassified non-coding RNA, 201 nt
Filed under: Hevea brasiliensis (rubber tree)
Lineage: Eukaryota; Viridiplantae; Streptophyta; Magnoliopsida; Malpighiales; Euphorbiaceae
Source: RNAcentral
AAGCAAUCCAAACAUCUGAAAUGGGAAACUAAAUUCCUGUUAAUCAUCUAUGCUACCUAUCACGAAGGAUUUUCAAAGGCGCUCCUUGUGGUCGGAGAUAAAACCGAAGAAGAUUGCAUCUAAUUUACAAGGAUAUAAACUGGCACGACCUUGCCACUCGCCAAAUCAUAAGGCAGUGUUGGGAUUGUUUCCAGCAAGAAU